AAGCGUUUUGAAAUGUAAGGAA
This 22-nucleotide non-coding RNA is filed under the name Drosophila melanogaster (fruit fly). The record is from RNAcentral. Lineage: Eukaryota; Metazoa; Arthropoda; Insecta; Diptera; Drosophilidae.